AGAGUUGAUCCUUGGCUCAGAGCGAACGUUGGCGGCGUGGAUUAGGCAUGCAAGUCGAACGAGAAAGCGCCCUUCGGGGCGUGAGUACAGUGGCGAACUGGUUAGUAACAGGUGGAUAACGUGCCCUUCAGCGGGGGAUAGCCUCUGGAAACAGGGAUUAAUACCGCGUACGCCCUCCCCAUCAUAAGGCGGGGAGGGGAAAGACUUCGGUCACUGAAGGAUCGGUCCGUCCCUGAUUAGCUUGUUGGUGAGGUAACGGCUCACCAAGGCGACGAUCAGUAGCUGGUCUGAGAGGAUGGUCAGCAACACUGGGACUGAGAUACGGCCCAGACUCCCACGGGAGGCAGCAGUCUAGAAGCUUCCACAAUGGACGAAAGUCUGAUGGAGCGACGCCGCGUGCGGGAUGAAGCCCUUGCGGGUGUAAACCGCUGUCAGCAGGGAAGAAUGCCCCGAUGGUGAAUCGGGGAGAGACGGUACCUGCAGAGGAAGCACCGGCUAAUUCCGUGCCAGCAGCCGCGGUAAUACGGAAGGUGCAAACGUUGCUCGGAAUUACUGGGCGUAAAGGGUGCGUAGGCGGUUUGAUAAGUCUAACGUGAAAUCCCACGGCUCAACCGUGGAACUGCGCUGGAAACUGUUGAACUUGAGGAUGGGAGAGGCAAGUGGAAUUCCUGGUGUAGCGGUGGAAUGUGUAGAGAUCAGGAAGAACACUCGUGGCGAAGGCGGCUUGCUGGCCCAUUUCUGACGCUGAGGCACGAAAGCCAGGGGGGCGAACGGGAUUAGAUACCCCGGUAGUCCUGGCCGUAAACGGUGGAUACUAGGUGUCGGGGGUAUCGACCCCCUCGGUGCCGACGCAAACGCAUUAAGUAUCCCGCCUGGGGAGUACGACCGCAAGGUUGAAACUCAAAGGAAUUGACGGGGGCCCGCACAAGCGGUGGAGGAUGUGGUUUAAUUCGACGCAACGCGCAGAACCUUACCUGGGCUUAAACCGCAGGGUAAACCCCCUGAAAGGGGGGCUGCUUCGGCAAUCCUGUAGAGGUGCUGCAUGGCCGUCGUCAGCUCGUGUCGUGAGAUGUUGGGUUAAGUCCCGCAACGAGCGCAACCCUUACUCUUAGUUACCAGCAUUUCGGAUGGGGACUCUAGGAGGACUGCCGUCGUAAGGCGGAGGAAGGUGGGGAUGACGUCAGGUCAGCAUGGCCCUUAUGUCCAGGGCUACACACGUCCUACAAUGGCGAGUACAACGGGCUGCUACCUCGCGAGAGUCAGCAAAUCCCUUAAAGCUCGUCCCAGUUCAGAUUGCAGUCUGCAACCCGACUGCAUGAAGGCGGAAUCGCUAGUAAUCGCGGAUCAGCAUGCCGCGCUGAUACGUUCCCGGGCAUUGUACACACCGCCCGUCACAUCACGAAAGUCGGCGGUACCAGAAGUCACUGAGCUAACCCGCAAGGGAGGCAGGUGCCUAAGGUAUGGCU
Molecule: ribosomal RNA, 1466 nt
Filed under: uncultured organism
Description: bacterial SSU rRNA
Rfam family: Bacterial small subunit ribosomal RNA
Source: RNAcentral